Molecule: ribosomal RNA, 464 nt
Filed under: Vreelandella stevensii
Lineage: Bacteria; Pseudomonadati; Pseudomonadota; Gammaproteobacteria; Oceanospirillales; Halomonadaceae
Description: partial 16S ribosomal RNA
Rfam family: Bacterial small subunit ribosomal RNA
Source: RNAcentral
CCUACGGUGGCUGCAGUGGGGAAUAUUGGACAAUGGGCGAAAGCCUGAUCCAGCCAUGCCGCGUGUGUGAAGAAGGCCUUCGGGUUGUAAAGCACUUUCAGUGGGGAAGAAAGCCUUGGGGCUAAUACCCUCGAGGAAGGACAUCACCCACAGAAGAAGCACCGGCUAACUCCGUGCCAGCAGCCGCGGUAAUACGGAGGGUGCGAGCGUUAAUCGGAAUUACUGGGCGUAAAGCGCGCGUAGGCGGUCUGAUAAGCCGGUUGUGAAAGCCCCGGGCUCAACCUGGGAACGGCAUCCGGAACUGUCAUGCUAGAGUGCAGGAGAGGAAGGUAGAAUUCCCGGUGUAGCGGUGAAAUGCGUAGAGAUCGGGAGGAAUACCAGUGGCGAAGGCGGCCUUCUGGACUGACACUGACGCUGAGGUGCGAAAGCGUGGGUAGCAAACAGGAUUAGAUACCCCAGUAGUC